GGCUACGUAGCUCAGUUGGUUAGAGCACAUCACUCAUAAUGAUGGGGUCACAGGUUCAAAUCC
This 63-nucleotide transfer RNA is filed under the name Vibrio cholerae CP1035(8). RNAcentral describes it as "partial tRNA-OTHER". It matches the Rfam family "tRNA", at positions 1 to 60 of the family's 71-position model. Rfam says of the family: Transfer RNA (tRNA) molecules are approximately 80 nucleotides in length. Their secondary structure includes four short double-helical elements and three loops (D, anti-codon, and T loops). The record is from RNAcentral. Lineage: Bacteria; Pseudomonadati; Pseudomonadota; Gammaproteobacteria; Vibrionales; Vibrionaceae.